Molecule: ribosomal RNA, 846 nt
Filed under: uncultured bacterium
Lineage: Bacteria
Description: bacterial SSU rRNA
Rfam family: Bacterial small subunit ribosomal RNA
Source: RNAcentral
CGACGCUUCUUUUUCACCGGAGCUUGCUCCCCGGAAAAAGAGGAGUGGCGAACGGGUGAGUAACACGUGGGUAACCUGCCCAUCAGAAGGGGAUAACACUUGGAAACAGGUGCUAAUACCGUAUAACAAUCAAAACCGCAUGGUUUUGAUUUGAAAGGCGCUUUCGGGUGUCGCUGAUGGAUGGACCCGCGGUGCAUUAGCUAGUUGGUGAGGUAACGGCUCACCAAGGCCACGAUGCAUAGCCGACCUGAGAGGGUGAUCGGCCACAUUGGGACUGAGACACGGCCCAAACUCCUACGGGAGGCAGCAGUAGGGAAUCUUCGGCAAUGGACGAAAGUCUGACCGAGCAACGCCGCGUGAGUGAAGAAGGUUUUCGGAUCGUAAAACUCUGUUGUUAGAGAAGAACAAGGAUGAGAGUAACUGUUCAUCCCUUGACGGUAUCUAACCAGAAAGCCACGGCUAACUACGUGCCAGCAGCCGCGGUAAUACGUAGGUGGCAAGCGUUGUCCGGAUUUAUUGGGCGUAAAGCGAGCGCAGGCGGUUUCUUAAGUCUGAUGUGAAAGCCCCCGGCUCAACCGGGGAGGGUCAUUGGAAACUGGGAGACUUGAGUGCAGAAGAGGAGAGUGGAAUUCCAUGUGUAGCGGUGAAAUGCGUAGAUAUAUGGAGGAACACCAGUGGCGAAGGCGGCUCUCUGGUCUGUAACUGACGCUGAGGCUCGAAAGCGUGGGGAGCAAACAGGAUUAGAUACCCUGGUAGUCCACGCCGUANACGAUGAGUGCUAAGUGUUGGANGGUUUCCGCCCUUCAGUGCUGCAGCUAACGCAUUAAGCACUCCGCCUGGGGAGUA